AGUGGCGGACGGGUGAGUAACGCGUGAGAAUCUGCCUUCAGGUCGGGGACAACAGAGGGAAACUUCUGCUAAUCCCGGAUGAGCCUUAGGGUAAAAAAUUUAUUGCCUGGAGAUGAGCUCGCGUCUGAUUAGCUAGUUGGUAAGGUAAAAGCUUACCAAGGCAACGAUCAGUAGCUGGUCUGAGAGGAUGAGCAGCCACACUGGGACUGAGACACGGCCCAGACUCCUACGGGAGGCAGCAGUGGGGAAUUUUCCGCAAUGGGCGAAAGCCUGACGGAGCAAGACCGCGUGGGGGAGGAAGGCUCUAGGGUUGUAAACCCCUUUUCUUUGGGAAGAACAAAAUGACGGUACCAAAGGAAUCAGCCUCGGCUAACUCCGUUCCAGCAGCCGCGGUAAUACGGAGGAGGCAAGCGUUAUCCGGAAUGAUUGGGCGUAAAGCGUCCGCAGGUGGCAAUGUAAGUCUGCUGUCAAAACCCAGGGCUCAACUCUGGUCAGGCAGUGGAAACUACAUAGCUAGAGUUCGGUAGGGGCAAAGGGAAUUCCCGGUGUAGCGGUGAAAUGCGUAGAGAUCGGGAAGAACAUCGGUGGCGAAAGCGCUUUGCUAGACCGAAACUGACACUCAGGGACGAAAGCUAGGGGAGCGAAUGGGAUUAGAUACCCC
RNAcentral lists this ribosomal RNA (661 nucleotides) under uncultured bacterium. RNAcentral describes it as "bacterial SSU rRNA". It matches the Rfam family "Bacterial small subunit ribosomal RNA", at positions 94 to 788 of the family's 1533-position model. The record is from RNAcentral.